GAUAAACGCUGGCGGCGUGCCUAAUACAUGCAAGUCGAGCGAACGGACGAGAAGCUUGCUUCUCUGAUGUUAGCGGCGGACGGGUGAGUAACACGUGGAUAACCUACCUAUAAGACUGGGAUAACUUCGGGAAACCGGAGCUAAUACCGGAUAAUAUUUUGAACCGCAUGGUUCAAAAGUGAAAGACGGUCUUGCUGUCACUUAUAGAUGGAUCCGCGCUGCAUUAGCUAGUUGGUAAGGUAACGGCUUACCAAGGCAACGAUGCAUAGCCGACCUGAGAGGGUGAUCGGCCACACUGGAACUGAGACACGGUCCAGACCCCUACGGGAGGCAGCAGUAGGGAAUCUUCCGCAAUGGGCGAAAGCCUGACGGAGCAACGCCGCGUGAGUGAUGAAGGUCUUCGGAUCGUAAAACUCUGUUAUUAGGGAAGAACAUAUGUGUAAGUAACUGUGCACAUCUUGACGGUACCUAAUCAGAAAGCCACGGCUAACUACGUGCCAGCAGCCGCGGUAAUACGUAGGUGGCAAGCGUUAUCCGGAAUUAUUGGGCGUAAAGCGCGCGUAGGCGGUUUUUUAAGUCUGAUGUGAAAGCCCACGGCUCAACCGUGGAGGGUCAUUGGAAACUGGAAAACUUGAGUGCAGAAGAGGAAAGUGGAAUUCCAUGUGUAGCGGUGAAAUGCGCAGAGAUAUGGAGGAACACCAGUGGCGAAGGCGACUUUCUGGUCUGUAACUGACGCUGAUGUGCGAAAGCGUGGGGAUCAAACAGGAUUAGAUACCCUGGUAGUCCACGCCGUAAACGAUGAGUGCUAAGUGUUAGGGGGUUUCCGCCCCUUAGUGCUGCAGCUAACGCAUUAAGCACUCCGCCUGGGGAGUACGACCGCAAGGUUGAAACUCAAAGGAAUUGACGGGGACCCGCACAAGCGGUGGAGCAUGUGGUUUAAUUCGAAGCAACGCGAAGAACCUUACCAAAUCUUGACAUCCUUUGACAACUCUAGAGAUAGAGCCUUCCCCUUCGGGGGACAAAGUGACAGGUGGUGCAUGGUUGUCGUCAGCUCGUGUCGUGAGAUGUUGGGUUAAGUCCCGCAACGAGCGCAACCCUUAAGCUUAGUUGCCAUCAUUAAGUUGGGCACUCUAAGUUGACUGCCGGUGACAAACCGGAGGAAGGUGGGGAUGACGUCAAAUCAUCAUGCCCCUUAUGAUUUGGGCUACACACGUGCUACAAUGGACAAUACAAAGGGCAGCGAAACCGCGAGGUCAAGCAAAUCCCAUAAAGUUGUUCUCAGUUCGGAUUGUAGUCUGCAACUCGACUACAUGAAGCUGGAAUCGCUAGUAAUCGUAGAUCAGCAUGCUACGGUGAAUACGUUCCCGGGUCU
RNAcentral lists this ribosomal RNA (1372 nucleotides) under uncultured bacterium. RNAcentral describes it as "bacterial SSU rRNA". It matches the Rfam family "Bacterial small subunit ribosomal RNA", at positions 28 to 1381 of the family's 1533-position model. The record is from RNAcentral.